RNAcentral lists this ribosomal RNA (253 nucleotides) under uncultured bacterium. RNAcentral's name for it is "partial 16S ribosomal RNA". It matches the Rfam family "Bacterial small subunit ribosomal RNA", at positions 524 to 776 of the family's 1533-position model. The record is from RNAcentral.
UACAGAGGGGGCAAGCGUUGUUCGGAAUUACUGGGCGUAAAGGGCGCGUAGGUGGCCCGCUAAGUCGAACGUGAAAUCCCCGAGCUCAACUCGGGAACUGCGUCCGAUACUGGCGGGCUUGAAUCCGGGAGAGGGAUGCGGAAUUCCAGGUGUAGCGGUGAAAUGCGUAGAUAUCUGGAGGAACACCGGUGGCGAAGGCGGCGUUCUGGACUGCAACUGACACUGAGGAACGAAAGCCAGGGGAGCAAACGGG